GCAGAGUAGAGAUCUGCGGGUUACGUGUCCGGAGGACGGGGAGUUGUCUUCGGAACGAAAAAAGCCUGCUUUUGCCGUGCAGAUUCUCGCAUCCCGCUGC
RNAcentral lists this non-coding RNA (100 nucleotides) under human gut metagenome. Its description in RNAcentral is "THF riboswitch". It matches the Rfam family "THF (Tetrahydrofolate) riboswitch aptamer". From Rfam's summary of the family: THF riboswitch presents a pseudoknot that joins P1-P2 and the loop of P3 and two THF binding. The record is from RNAcentral.